GACGUGUAAGAUAGUAGAGAAGGGUCUCUACAAUUUAAGUAGCAGAGGGAUAAGACAGCGCACCUUUCACUUGAGCUUCAACAUGGGAAAGGGAAACGAAGACCCCUAUCUCCACUGCUCCUCCAUCCAAUGUUCCACUGACCAGCCCCCUUUCCAACAGAUCUCCUUUACAGGAAAGGGCUCAGAUGAGAAGAAACCGUUCAAAGGAAAAGGCAAGACCGCCUCUUCCCAUUCCAGUGAGAAGCACAUACAAAGGCAAGGGAACUGUCCAGAAGAGGAACGCAGCUUGAUGUUAAAAAAAAAAAAAAAAUC
Long non-coding RNA from Homo sapiens (human), 312 nucleotides. The record is from Ensembl. NCBI's taxonomy places the organism in Eukaryota, Metazoa, Chordata, Mammalia, Primates, Hominidae.